Molecule: ribosomal RNA, 169 nt
Filed under: uncultured Actinomycetes bacterium
Lineage: Bacteria; Bacillati; Actinomycetota; Actinomycetes
Description: uncultured actinobacterium partial 16S ribosomal RNA
Rfam family: Bacterial small subunit ribosomal RNA
Source: RNAcentral
UCGGAGGAAGGUGGGGAUGACGUCAAAUCAUCAUGCCCCUUAUGUCUUGGGCUUCACGCAUGCUACAAUGGCCGGUACAAUGGGUUGCGAUACUGUGAGGUGGAGCUAAUCCCAAAAAGCCGGUCUCAGUUCGGAUUGGGGUCUGCAACUCGACCCCAUGAAGUCGGAG